RNAcentral lists this ribosomal RNA (910 nucleotides) under uncultured bacterium. RNAcentral's name for it is "bacterial SSU rRNA". It matches the Rfam family "Bacterial small subunit ribosomal RNA", at positions 33 to 917 of the family's 1533-position model. The record is from RNAcentral.
ACGCUGGCGGCGUGCCUAAUACAUGCAAGUAGAACGCACAGGAUGCACCGUAGUUUACUACACCGUACUCUGUGAGUUGCGAACGGGUGAGUAACGCGUAGGUAACCUGCCUGGUAGCGAGGGAUAACUAUUGGAAACGAUAGCUAAUACCGCAUAAGAACAUUUACUGCAUGGUAGAUGUUUAAAAGGUGCAAAAGCAUCACUACCAGAUGGACCUGCGUUGUAUUAGCUAGUUGGUGAGGUAACGGCUCACCAAGGCAACGAUACAUAGCCGACCUGAGAGGGUGAUCGGCCACACUGGGACUGAGACACGGCCCAGACUCCUACGGGAGGCAGCAGUAGGGAAUCUUCGGGAAUGGGGGGAACCCUGACCGAGCAACGCCGCGUGAGUGAAGAAGGUUUUCGGAUCGUAAAGCUCUGUUGUUAAGGAAGAACGUGUGUGAGAGUGGAAAGUUCACACAGUGACGGUACUUAACCAGAAAGGGACGGCUAACUACGUGCCAGCAGCCGCGGUAAUACGUAGGUCCCGAGCGUUGUCCGGAUUUAUUGGGCGUAAAGCGAGCGCAGGCGGUCAGAUAAGUCUGAAGUGAAAGGCAGUGGCUCAACCAUUGUAGGCUUUGGAAACUGUUUAACUUGAGUGCAGAAGGGGAGAGUGGAAUUCCAUGUGUAGCGGUGAAAUGCGUAGAUAUAUGGAGGAACACCGGUGGCGAAAGCGGCUCUCUGGUCUGUAACUGACGCUGAGGCUCGAAAGCGUGGGGAGCGAACAGGAUUAGAUACCCUGGUAGUCCACGCCGUAAACGAUGAGUGCUAGGUGUUAGGUCCUUUCCGGGACUUAGUGCCGCAGCUAACGCAUUAAGCACUCCGCCUGGGGAGUACGACCGCAAGGUUGAAACUCAAAGGAAUUGACGGG